ACCACUGUCAAUCUAUCUACCACUGCUAAUCUAUGCCACUGCCAAUCUAUCUAUUGCUGCUAAUCUAUUGCUGCUGUCAAUCUAUCUACUGCUGUCAAUCUAUCUAUCGCUGUCAAUCUAUCUACCACUGCUAAUCUAUUGCUGCUAAUCUAUCGCUGCUAAUCUAUUGCUGCUAAUCUAUCUAUCACUGCUAAUCUAUUGCUGCCAAUCUAUCUACCGCUGCCAACCUAUCUACCACUGCCAAUCUACCUACCGCUGUCAAUCUAUCUACCACUGCUAAUCUAUCACUGCUAAUCUAUCGCUGCUAAUCUAUUGCUGCUAAUCUAUUGCUGCUAAUCUAUUGCUGCUAAUCUAUCUAUCACUGCUAAUCUAUCGCUGCCAAUCUAUCUACCGCUGCCAACCUACCUACCGCUGCCAAUCUAUCUACCACUGCUAAUCUAUCACUGCUAAUCUAUCGCUGCUAAUCUAUUGCUGCUAAUCUAUUGCUGCUAAUCUAUUGCUGCUAAUCUAUUUAUCACUGCUAAUCUAUCACUGUCAAUCUAUCUACCACUGCCAAUCUAUCUACUGCUGUCAAUCUAUCUAUCACUGCCAACCUAUCUACCACUGCUAAUCUAUCACUGCUAAUCUAUCACUGCCAAUCUAUAUAGAGUAAAUCAUGAUCCCAUUUGAUUCCAUUUUGUAAAAUGGAAUCAAAUGAAACUGGGAUCACUAAUUUAUUAGUAAAACAUGAUCUGGGACUAGAUUUAUAAUAUAAACAGUGUAAAGUGACUAAUUUACUAAACACUAUAUGGAACCAGAACUAAGAUAUCUAAUAAUAGGACUGAGGAAAAAUUUGAUCCCAGUUCCAUGCAUGGUCACACGGCCAGUCUAUAAAUAAAUAAAAACAGA
Molecule: small RNA, 888 nt
Filed under: Histoplasma capsulatum
Lineage: Eukaryota; Fungi; Ascomycota; Eurotiomycetes; Onygenales; Ajellomycetaceae
Also listed under: 1 other name
Description: hypothetical RNA
Source: RNAcentral